GACUCCAUGGCCUAAUAGAUAAGGUGUUGGUCUAAGAAACCAAAGAUUCUGGGUAUGAUCCCCAGUGGAGCCA
RNAcentral lists this transfer RNA (73 nucleotides) under Ipomoea nil (Japanese morning glory). It matches the Rfam family "tRNA". From Rfam's summary of the family: Transfer RNA (tRNA) molecules are approximately 80 nucleotides in length. Their secondary structure includes four short double-helical elements and three loops (D, anti-codon, and T loops). Lineage: Eukaryota; Viridiplantae; Streptophyta; Magnoliopsida; Solanales; Convolvulaceae. The record is from Rfam by way of RNAcentral.